RNAcentral lists this ribosomal RNA (594 nucleotides) under Triticum aestivum (bread wheat). RNAcentral's name for it is "partial small subunit ribosomal RNA". The record is from RNAcentral. Lineage: Eukaryota; Viridiplantae; Streptophyta; Magnoliopsida; Poales; Poaceae.
AUGGCUCAGGAUGCUGUUGCACUUAAUGGACUAAAUGGCGACCGUCAUAGGCAGUUUCGUAGGUCUGUGAUACCGAUUCUUAUGUAUAAUCGGGAAGGUGAAAAUCCAAAUAAACCAAUUUCUGUUAUUUCGGGCAUAGUCACGGUCUCUGGUGGAGGGUUUUGCCACAUAAUAGCAUACAAGGGGUUACUUUUUCCCCCAGAGGCACACAAGUACAGAUAUGAAAUUGUUUUUCCCAAUGAUAUGAGGGUAGACCUUGAACACCUCGGCGUGGAAAGACAUGGUCUUUUGGCUGGUUUCUAUUGUCAUGUUCCUGUUGAAACUGUAGAUGCUGUCCACUUUGGUAUUCAAACUACGAGGAACCAAGAACUUAAGAUGUAUGGAUAUCAGGUUGAUAAUGUAUCAGGGCGAUUACAAAAUGAUCUAACUGAUGGCUAUCUGACUCAUGUAGAGGAACAAUAUCAAGAGUUCAGACAUGAUUGUACACCUUCAUUUUUUUCUCGAAGAGGAUCACCUGUUUUCAAUGAGCAAAGGCAACUCGUCGGUAUAUCUUUUAAGGAUAUUGGUGUAAAGCCUUGGAUAUUGGGUAUAUAA